RNAcentral lists this ribosomal RNA (484 nucleotides) under uncultured bacterium. RNAcentral describes it as "partial 16S ribosomal RNA". It matches the Rfam family "Bacterial small subunit ribosomal RNA", at positions 29 to 507 of the family's 1533-position model. The record is from RNAcentral.
AUUGAACGCUGGCGGCAUGCUUUACACAUGCAAGUCGAACGGCAGCGCGGGCUUCGGCCUGGCGGCGAGUGGCGAACGGGUGAGUAAUACAUCGGAACGUGCCCAGUAGUGGGGGAUAGCUCGGCGAAAGCCGGAUUAAUACCGCAUACGACCUGAGGGUGAAAGCGGGGGAUCUUCGGACCUCGCGCUAUUGGAGCGGCCGAUGGCAGAUUAGCUAGUUGGUGGGGUAAAGGCCUACCAAGGCGACGAUCUGUAGCUGGUCUGAGAGGACGACCAGCCACACUGGGACUGAGGCACGGCCCAGACUCCUACGGGAGGCAGCAGUGGGGAAUUUUGGACAAUGGGCGAAAGCCUGAUCCAGCAAUGCCGCGUGUGUGAUGAAGGCCUUCAGGUUGUAAAGCACUUUUGGCGGGAACGAAAAGGACUGUGCCAAUACCACGGUUCGAUGACGGUACCCGCAGAAUAAGCACCGGCUAACUACGUG